GUGUCACCACGGACAGCCACCAGCUGUACGGCCUCUUCAUGGGCCACCUCUCCUUCUGCGUCUUCGAGUGGGACGUGGAGGAUGUGGCCCAUGUACAGGAGGCACCACCUCCACUGGAUUCAGAACCCUCCAGGUGUACAGCUGUACAGGGGCAGGUGACCAGGGGAGGGGUCAUCCUGCCCGUGUAUCACUGUGCACGUGGUUCCACGUCCCUGGAGUCGUUCCACCUGCACCCGAACCGCUUCGUACCUGCAAAGUCCCUCUUUCUCUCUCUCUCUCACUUUCUGUAUGCAUGUCAGCAUUGUUUACUAAAAGCCUCCUUUCUUUGACUGCUGCAGGUACAAGUGCAUGUUCCCUGCACUUUCAGGCAUACUUGCUUGAAGGGUUGGUGAGGUGGAAUGAGGACUCUGCGGCAGCAGCAGUGGAGGGAAGCAAUCCUACUCGGGUCUGCUACAGUGGCCAGCUACGGGUCUGCUACAGUGGCAGCACUAUGCCAUCCAGCUGAGCCAGCAACUCCUUGGGCUCCAGCUGGCUGAUGACUACACUACACCUGAAGAGUAUACAAGUGAACUCAUCGAGGUGGAGGGACCUAUACUCUCAGACCAGCGCAGUGCUGCAUGAGGACCUCGACAGGGAUCCAAACACACUGGAUGGGCUUAACAAUGAGGACCUUCCAGAGCUGAGAGGACGAGGACUUUGAGGAUGUGAGCACAGUCUCAAACCAUUGCCGCAUCUCCAUUGUUCUGCAGUGGGACCACGUUCUCUGGCUGCCUUGUCGUGGACCUGUCGGACCCAGUCGAUUCCUCCAAGGUGCAAUUCUGGACCGACCAAGGAAACCAUCCCUGAUGGCCAGGAGAGCCUGGGACCUGGUGGUGUUCCAGGCUACCAUCACACCGCGCCAUAGAGACUGACUGGUCAAGGGCCAGUUCUGUCAGUAAUGCUGCCUUCAAGUCAUGUUGGAAACAUUGUAUUUAAGAAAUGAGCACACAAGAAAGCCACCAGGUUGUAUUUACUAGUGGGAAACUCGAUAAGGCCUGACUUUCUGAGUUUAGGGUGUGUCAGUAAUAACGCAUAAUGGAGGCUGCCAGUAUGGAUGCUGCUCCCACAGGAGAUGCUAAAAGUUAUGUUGAGGAUGAAUAGUAACAAAACUAAUCAGAAGAACCCUGAAAGUGUUGCCUUGUGCAGAUAUUUUUGUGUUAUUUAUGUACAUUCAUUCAUUUGUUUCAGUAUAUUCAUUUUCUUUC
Molecule: non-coding RNA, 1244 nt
Organism: Electrophorus electricus (electric eel)
Lineage: Eukaryota; Metazoa; Chordata; Actinopteri; Gymnotiformes; Gymnotidae
Source: RefSeq, a predicted model, not a curated record